RNAcentral lists this ribosomal RNA (253 nucleotides) under uncultured bacterium. RNAcentral describes it as "partial 16S ribosomal RNA". It matches the Rfam family "Bacterial small subunit ribosomal RNA", at positions 524 to 776 of the family's 1533-position model. The record is from RNAcentral.
UACGUAGGGGGCUAGCGUUGUCCGGAAUCAUUGGGCGUAAAGCGCGUGUAGGCGGCUCGGUAAGUCCGCUGUGAAAGUCGGGGGCUCAACCCUCGGAUGCCGGUGGAUACUGUCGGGCUAGAGUACGGAAGAGGCGAGUGGAAUUCCUGGUGUAGCGGUGAAAUGCGCAGAUAUCAGGAGGAACACCAAUUGCGAAGGCAGCUCGCUGGGACGUUACUGACGCUGAGACGCGAAAGCGUUGGGAGCAAACAGG